GAAUUAUUUUUUUUUUUUUUGGAUCCUGAAUUAUUAAGAACAUUUGUAUAUUCUCCAGGGGCAGGAAGUCUUAUUACAUAGCUGAUGUCCAGAGGCCUCUAGCCUAUAAAUAGGAUGUCUCACUUGUCUCCUAAAUUCUAACAAUGAGCUAAAGGAGGAGAGCAAGAGCUAAAGGAGGAGUAAGAAGGAGAUGCUAAGAGGAGAGAAAUGAAUAAAUGGCCUCUAAUAUUUGAGAGUCUGCCAGAAGAGACAGCAAAAAGACAUUGAAAUAAGCAUUGAGCUAGAUCCCGGAAGAUGUGCUGGCAACUACGAGUCUGAGUGUGGAGAUAGAAAAGGGGGAAAAAAAUCCACGAAGGUGUUCAAAGUGUAAAUGCAAGCUUCUGAGAGGAUUUUCCUCAGACCUCACCCUGAGAACCUGCCAUGAAGGUUUUCAAAGCUGGUGACUGUGGCUAUUUCUUCUAAGCCUUACGUUGAACAUCUCUGAAAGCUGGACCCAUUUUAGGAGCAUCUCUGAAGCAGAAGGAAGACUGGCUGGUCAUCCUCCAUCUGGGUUUCAUUCUUUUGCAUGUAUCUGUCCAACUCGCGUAGGAGAUGAAACUUGUCAAUCAGCCUGGCCUGAGCUCCUGGUUGUAUCUCAAAGCUUUGUGAUGGUCCAGGUCAUCUUCUUUGUUCUUAGUGGCUCUCAGUGGUUGAGGGUGUGCCAAGACCAGACAGUAUCCCAAGCGAGGAUCCCAUUCAGUGCCUGGAUGAAGGCUGAUCGGAAGCUGGAUCCUCAGGCAGCAGCUGGGGACAAAUGUGCUCACUCCUCUCCCAGUGAGAAACAAGGGAAUAGGCACUUUUGCUUGCCUUUCUGCACUGGGCCCUGAUGUAUAGCCAUGGCUGCUGCUGUGCCUGUUAAGAAAUGCU
This is a long non-coding RNA of Herpailurus yagouaroundi (jaguarundi), 906 nucleotides long. RefSeq lists it as uncharacterized. Lineage: Eukaryota; Metazoa; Chordata; Mammalia; Carnivora; Felidae. The transcript has 7 exons. The record is from RefSeq and is a predicted model, not a curated record.